UUAACCCCCAUCUGAUUCAUUCGUCUAUAUAAAACACAAAGCCGUGAUUUAAAUAGCCUAUUUAUUAGAUAGGUUAAUACAGGGAUCUAAACAUACGACAAUGAGGAUUUUAAUUAUUCUCGCUCUGUACAUAUGUUUGAUGACUAGCAAUAAAACGACGGCUGUGUGUACUGAAUCUAGACGUAAAACGUGUGAUGAGCCCCACUUGAAAGCUUUACUUAAUUUAUCUGACAGUUUAAGCAAGCCUGUGGAAGAAAUAAGAAAGGAAUUCUGCUCGAUAAUGGCCACAAUGAUUAGAUGUUACAAAAAUGUUGACUGUUAUAUUAGUCCUGCACAAGAGAAAGCAGUGUAUGACAAACUGGCUAAAAAGGGUGUACACUGUGGUGGAUGUAUGGCGUCCUAUAGUUAUGUACUGAUGGGUCUGUCAGCAGUGUUGAUUAUGAUAAACAACAAGUUUUAACAGUCCAACAUUCUUUGCUGAAUCAUGCAAUAUAGUUUCCUGGAUCAAAUAACGAACCGGGAAUAUUAGCGACGCAUGGAGAAAUUUGUAUUUUAUAUAAUAUCAUAUCAAUAAAAAUUUGAAGCAAGAUUCGCCUUAUUAUCGAAAACACCAGCACUGGCAUCCUUAGACAAAAGUAUUUCACAGGAAUGUCAGAAGCUAUAACGUAUAGGAUUCGUAUUGAAUCUUAAAACGUCUAUAUCUCGGCAAUGAAUUUGCAGAUUGAACUCGGGAAUAUGUAAUCAAAUCACGUGCAAUCGAUCGAGAAAGUAAGGGUACCUCUUUAACAAUUUAGGCUACUGUUAAUUGCUAUAAUAUUUGCAUAUUGUCCGAAACGUAAGACUAUUCACUUGUUUCCGUUGCACGAAGCAUAUGUUUGUACGAAUUCUUAAGACUAAAGUGUGCUAUGUGCAACGGGGUACUUGUCAAUAUAUAAAUAUAUAUAUUUUUAAGAUUUUAUUUACUCUUGCCAGUUUAAUAGGCAUACCUGUUAACUUACGAGCCAUUUAAUGUAUAAUUAGUAUGGUCAUUGAAUACUUACAAUUAGUCUUGCCAUUUAAUACUUACGUGGACAUAAUUAGUCCUGCAGGCAUUCAAUACUUGCAUAAUUAGUCCUGCCAUGGAAUACUUGUAUGAUUGGGCUUGCCAUGGAAGACUUGCAUAAUUAGUCCCUCCAUUUAAUGCCUACAUAAUUAGACUUGCAUAAUUAGGCUUGCCAUUCAAUACAUAUUUAUUUUUUUUAUAUCAGAGUUUUUUUUACGCAGCAUGUAUCACUGAAUUGACCCACAGAUUUAUAUCAGAGAUUUUUACAUAGCAUGUAUCACUAAAACAACCUACAGAUAUAUAUCCGCUGAAAAAUAUUAAUUAUGUAGCAUAUAUCACUGAAACGACCCACAGAUCUAUAUCCGCUGAAAAAUAUU
Long non-coding RNA from Patella vulgata (common limpet), 1419 nucleotides. RefSeq lists it as uncharacterized. The transcript is spliced from 4 exons. Lineage: Eukaryota; Metazoa; Mollusca; Gastropoda; Patellidae. The record is from RefSeq and is a predicted model, not a curated record.